AUUUUAGAUUGAUAACAUAUCUCAACCAACGGGAAGAAAACAAGGACAGAUGGGUCGGUGCACUUUUGGAAACGAAACUUCCAGUUCACAUGAUUUAUGGGCCAUCUGAUCCAGUUAACAGUGGAUACGCCUUCGUUGAUCAUUACAAGAAAGUAGUACCAUCCCCAAGUAUAACUGUACUAGACGCGGCGAUAGGACACUAUCCCCAGUGGGAGGAUCCCAAUGGCGUCUUCGAAUCCUACAAGUUCUUCUUGCAGUCCAUCAAAAAUCCUUAAAUUAUCAACCCAGGGUUAUCAAAAACCUUUAAUCAUUCCACCAGUGCAUAAAAUAAAAUUCUUUCCACCAGUCCAUAAAAAGCCUUGAACUCUCUCCCCAGGUAAUAAAAAUGAUCUUGAACUUUCUUCUCCAGUCCAUUGAAAAGUCUUUUAAUAUUCCUCAUAUAUUCAAUCGAUCAAUCAUAAUGUCCAUGGCCUUGGAAUACUCGAAAUAUUUGAACGACGUGAAUACAUUUUAAAUUUUCAUAAAAAUGAAAAACAAUCAACUAUUUAAAAAAGGGCUUUGAAAUAUUUUAAAACUUAAAAAUUCGAGCAAAAGAAAGCCACCUUCGUAUUAUCAAUAUUUCCAAUCUCCUUUGAAGCAUAUUACUUUACCCAUAUCUAUUAAAUUCUUGCAUAAAUUCAUGAAAAGUCCUUAAAGGACAAAAGCCAGUAA
Long non-coding RNA from Mya arenaria, 711 nucleotides. RefSeq lists it as uncharacterized. The record is from RefSeq and is a predicted model, not a curated record. NCBI's taxonomy places the organism in Eukaryota, Metazoa, Mollusca, Bivalvia, Myida, Myidae. The transcript has 3 exons.